ACGCUUUCCUCUCCUUUCACUUCCUCUCAUUUCGUCUCAGAAAUCGUCAGAUUCGCUGAAGUUUUGGCCUUAACUAUCUCUCUCUCUCUCUCUUUCUCUCUCUCUCUCUCUCUAUAUAUAUAUAUCUAUAUAUAUUGGUAUGUGGGCUGACAGAAGAGAGUGAGCACACAGCGGCGAUUGCAUCGAUCUGAUGCCUUAUCUGUUGCGUGCUCACGUCUCUCUCUGUCAGCUCUCUCUAUCCCUGAAAGCAUGUAGCGCUGAAGGCUGAUAAUAUCUUUGAUGGACUGGAAAGCUGGGUGUGCAGGUGAACAUCGUGUCUCUCUGGAGAGAUGACCACGAGGGUGUAGAGUUCAUGUCUGUCUUUUCCCUGUGGAUUCUCACUGUUAUUUUAUCUCGUCUGCUGGAUUUUCUGCAUAUAUACGACUCUUUUUCUUGCUCUCUCUGGACGUCUCUGCAUUUGUACUCUGUGAGACGUCUCGUCUGGCGCGGACACCCACGGAGAGGGGUGGAUUUCCGAGGCAAAGAGAUAGUACUGGUCGCAUGGACUAUUAUGUCCACUGAAUCGAGAUGGAAAAUCCAAGAGGAGAAGGAACACAUAAGAAUGAUUAAGGCGUGGUGGUGCAGAGAGGAAGCGUGACUUUUGAGGAUGGAUCUGUUAACGGGUAUCACUGUUUGACUGGUCCCAUCUCUUUCUGUUCCUUCUUUCUCCACCUCAUCUUCUUCUAUCUUCCCCACUUGCCGAACAACAAGUUCUUAUACAGAUCUAUCCUUGUCGAAACCAUGGAGAAAAAUCAUCAUCGUAUGAGAUCUCCAGACUCAGUAGUACCGAAGUUUAUGUCUUUCUUCAUGGCUGAAGAUGGAUCUUGAACUCUUUAAGUUUCAGAAGGCACAGAAAGAAGUAGAGCCUAGCAGAUCUGCGUUGCACCUGAGGGUAGUUUUCUUUCCCUUCUCUUACCGUAGCGUUUACGCUAAGUUUAUUGUCGCAGUAGUUUCCUAUUUCAUGGAUUGUUUCUCGCUCUACACUAGGCAUGGCUGCUGUUCCUUCUGGUCCAUACGUAUCAUAGACGGGUAGAUCUGUGUCUAGUGCUUUUACUCAUCUUUGGAUCUAUGUUGUUUCUCAUCUUAUCUUUUAUCUACAACUGCAGCUAAAUGUUUUGCCUUUCAUAUUCCGUGAAUCUGCCUAUUUCAUUCACCAGAGUAUUGUUUUGUGAUUUCUCAUCUUUUCUUUUACCUACAACUGCAGCUAAAUGUUUUGCCUUACAUAUUCCAUGAAUCUGCCUAUUUCAUUCACCAGAGUAUUGUUUUGUGAUUUCUCAUCUUAUAUUUUAUCUACAACUGCAGUUAAAUGUUUUGCCUUACAUAUUCCAUGAAUCUGCCUAUUUCAUUCACCAGAGUAUUGUUUUGUGAUUUCUCAUCUUAUAUUUUAUCUACAACUGCAGUUAAAUGUUUUGCCUUACAUAUUCCAUGAAUCUGCCUAUUUCUUUCACCAAAGUAUUGUUUUGUGAUUUCUCAUCUUUUCUUUUACCUACAACUGCAGCUAAAUGUUUUGCCUUACAUAUUCCAUGAAUCUGCCUAUUUCUUUCACCAAAGUAUUGUUUUGUGAUUUCUCAUCUUAUCUUUUAUCUACAACUGCAGCUAAAUGUUUUGCCUUACGUAUUCCAUGAAUCUGCCUAUUUCAUUCACCAGAGUAUUGUUUUGUGAUUUCUCAUCUUAUCUUUUAUCUACAACUGCAGCUAAAUGUUUUGCCUCACAUAUUCCAUGAAUCGGCCUAUUUCUCUCACCAGAGUAUUGUUUUGUGAUUUCUCAUCUUGUCUUUUAUCUACAACUGCAGUUAAAUGUUUUGCCUUACAUAUUCCAUGAAUCUGCCUAUUUCUUUCACCAGAGUAUUGUUUUGUGAUUUCUCAUCUUAUCUUUUAUCUACAACUGCAGCUAAAUGUUUUGCCUUACAUAUUCCAUGUAUCUGCCUAUUUCUUUCACCAGAGAAUUAUUGUUUUGUGAUUUCUCAUCUUGUCUUUUUUUUUUCUACAACUGCAGUUAAAUGUUUUGCCUCACAUAUUCCAUGAAUCUGCCCAUUUCUUUCACCAGAUUAUUGUUCAUCCUGGCUGUUGCUUUACGACUCCAUAUAAGACGUUUCAAGAUGAAAGAUAUUAUUCCAUCAACUCACUACCCGAUGAUAUGUUUCUUUAACAGCUGUUUGCAGCCCAAUUUUUACCAUAUUCCGUUCAUGUUAUGGAAUUUUCGAUUCCUUAUCAUCGACAAUGUUUGGUUUAUAUUGCCAUUACCAGAUAUAACUUCUGUUCUUGUGUUCUUUUGAAUACCUUUUGUUUUAAGUAGGCCCGAUGUUGCAGAAAGACUGCAAUCUCACAAGGAUAUGGUUUCCUAAGGAUAAGACACAGGUUAGUCACUUUGUUUGACAUAGAAAAAUGUUACAGUGGCAAUAGUAGCAAUCAUAAUAUUCAAUUUACUGUGAAUUGUCAAUUUGGAAACAUGGAAUAAUAAAUUGCCUCAACUUUGGUCGCUAAACUUUUGUCCUUAGGCAUUGGACUUCGAGUUUGCAGCCAUGAAUAAGGGCUUAUCAGAGCACAAAAUUACUUGAGAGAAAUCUUAGUGCAAAUAUUAUCUUUUUGAAGAUAAUUUUUGGAUAAUAAUUUUUUUUCUUGAUAAAUGAUGAUCGAUGGGAAUAUGAUUUAAUAUGAUAAGAACUUGUUGUUGGUUGUGAAGAACAUGAUUUCUCGAUUAUAGGGUUGGUUUGAAGAAUUGAUUUCUCAGUUAUAGGAUUGUUCAUACUCAUGCUGUUACUAUGACAUGCAAACUUUGGAUUCUAUAAAACGAUUGCAUAAAAAGACACUGAGGGUUUGAAGUAAUUGAAGAUUCAUAUUGCUAGUAUUUGUAUCUUGGCUAUGGAACGAGUGAUCUUUAUGCGAGUCGAUUUGUGAUCUUUUGAUUAAUCCAUACAAGUAGAUAAGCAUCAUCGUUCGACAUUUAUUGGUCUCUUUGCCAUUACAAAAGUAUUGAGGAUGAUUGGUUUUGACAAGUUUGCACUAGCUUUGAAGUUUAUAAUACAAGGCAUUAAUGAUUUAUUAUACUUGACUUUUAUUCUUCGAAUUGAGGUGGAAGCUCUUGGUCAGUCAUUUUGGUUGUAUGAUUUCAAUUUUUAUUUGUUGAGUCGUGAAACUUUUUUUUAUUUUCUUAUGAUUUAGAAAUUGCUAGUAUUUGUAUAAAAAAGAUUUUUGAAAUUUUGUUUGAAGUAAUUGAAGAUUCAUAUUGCUCCGCUAACAUUGAUGUUUUUUUUAUCUUCUUAUCUUGCAUGACAUCAGAAUUGUAAUAAUAAAAUGACUAUUAUAAAAAUGAGAAAAAUAGGUGAUCUUUGGAAUAAUAUUAAUCUUGUUCUAAGGGUACCCAUAUUUUGACUAUCUUGGGGUAGAACAUGCUUAUUCUUAACUUUGAUGGUAUGUUCAAUCUAAAAUGGUAUGUUGUUGAGGAUAGCCUCAUAAUUCAGUACACCUAAGCUACUAUAGGAGAUAUGAUUCUUUUUUCUCUUUUGUAUUCUUUUACAUGAUAGAACAAUGUAUUGUAAUAUCAUAAUCAUGAUGGAAUUUAAUUUUAUGUUCUCAGUUUUGUGCUUAAUGGAUCAUCAUAUGGUACUCUGAGUGAGUUUUUCAGUAAAUUGGUUUCGUAUUCAUUUAGCUCUCCUUAUUAGAAUGUAACUCUUUAUGUCAAUUCCACAAUACAAGGAAAUAUUAGGGGAAAAAGUAGUAACUAUGACCAUUGAGGGCAAACAAGAUUGAAGGUCUGAUACUUGCUACAACUAGCUUUCUUAUGCUAUGUUGUCUGGCACAUCUUGCUACGUAUCGAACCCUACACAAGAUUGAAGGUAUGAUGUUGGCAGCUACUAGGUUUUGAAUGUUAUAUUCUUUGGCACCUUUUGCUGUAUACUAUCAUAAGCAUUAUCUAUGAACAUGCAAAAGAGAAUUUUUAUGUUUCCUUGUUUUGCCAUCUUCCUCUGCCUUUUGUAUUAUCUUUUCCCCCUUUUCCCAUUUACAGAUUUAUAGUUUUAAGACUUUGUUGUUUUCAUGCUUUAGGAUGUCUAAGUUUCUAAUUACUUCAAUUAUUUUUUCAUGUUCUUUCUCAUUUUAUUGCUUAUUUGUGCAUAGUAGUUGAUGCUAUAUCGUAUCAUAAAAUGCAUGUCGCAUUAACUUUCUUAUACACAUUCAUUAGGGAAACAUUUUUUUCCCUUAAUUUUCAAUCUGUAAACUCUUUCCGCUCAUCCAAAAGUUCCUAUGUACACUUCUAAGAUCCAUGGUCCUAUAAUGUUCUUUUCUUUUCAACUACCAAAACUUGAACUCAUAUGCAAGAGGUUUUAGAGGACAAUUUAACAGUAAUCACAGUAUGCUCAUGUGCAUCCCUCUUACAUUAACAAUCAUGCUUGAAAUUUAUCGGCUUUGACGUUACAGUCUUUCUUUCAUGUUGAAUGAAGACCUCAGAUAUCUAAAACUUCUAUUCUUUUAAAAUUUCUUGUCAACUUGUUUUACAUGUUUGUCGUUCUUUAAUUGAUGAAAGUGAGUUAACUUGAUGUAUGAGACCUAUAUCUACUAAUUAUCUAUCAAUUAGUUUCUCAGGUUUUGUAUUUAUGGUUCAUGUCCAGAAUUAAUCCCAAUAAGGUUCUGAUCAACUAGAAAAUUAUUGUAAAUAAACAACAUACACAAGGGAAAAUGUCCUUGGUUAGUUCAUACAGUAUUGAAAUAAAAAAUUAAAGGACUUCAAAUUAUUCGUUUGACCUAACCCUAUACUGGUAGCUAAUGCUAUGCCCUUGUGUUAUUCUUCUGAUGCCGGUAACUUUAGUUAGAUAUCUUCAUCUUAUUUUUGUAUUUAUAAGAAUCUGGUUUUUGUGCGAAACCGAGUUAUGAAAGAUUUAAUUGGGUGAUUGCAUUGGUUAGUUUGCGGAUUGAAGAUAUUCAAAAGUUCCAUUAAUUGUGAAGCCGAAGUCCUUCAACUUCAUGAAUUCGCUUCUCUUUUACUACAUCCAAAACCAUAUGGGGUGAUUACUACUUGAAAACUUAUAUUCCAUUUGUUUUUAUUAUCGGUUCGGUUGUCUUGUUUUAGUAAUCAUACAGUGUAGCUCCUUCCAUCCUAAACAAAUUUAUGUUAAGCCGAUGGCGUUAACUUUCAGCUGUGAAAUAACCUGUAAUGUAUGUGGCAAGUCAUCCGACUUGAUCUUCGUUUUGCAGUUGCUACAGAAGCAAUGAACCAGUACUAGUCCAUUCAAAUACGUUUUACGGUCGUCGGUUUAUGAGAUGCCCUUAUCAAGUUAUAUUAUCUAAGAUGCUGUUGAAUCAAGCUGACUUCAUCUGUUGAGAUAUCAGCUCAGUAUUACUUAUUAGUAUAUUUAACCAGGAUCCAUCACAACUGGACACUUGUUAACUCAACCAAGGUUUACCAAUAGAGUUAGGGCACAGAUCAGUCAUUUCAACCUAAGAAACAGCUUAUGAUGAAGUUGUUUGACUUUGAAUUGAAUCUGAAUCCUUUUGAGCUGAAUUAGGUUACAAUUAGAAAGCUAAGCCCAGUAUUGGGUACAAGUAAUGGUAAUGGUGGUUUACCCAUUACCAUUAGUCUUGGUAUUGACCUGUGGUAAUGAAAUUACCAAGGAACAAGUAAUGUCAAUUCCAAAGUCAUGCAUGCAAGAUGGAAAUUGAUGUUGUCAAUUGAUGACCGGUUGAAGAUUGUGGGGGGGGAGUCUCUUUCAACAACUGGUGCAAAACGAGCAACAACAAUCACAAAGAAAAUACUGAUGGUCGGGCUAUUUUGAUCAGAAAUAGUGAGGAAAUACUUGAGGGAUAUAAUAAUCAGAAUCUUGAGAUAAAAGUCCAACAGCAGUCAUAUUAUCAAGUGUAAUUUGUUUCGCUGAUGAGAAAUCACAUGUUGCUUCAGAUUGUUUUCAUAGAUCAAUUAGAACACUCUGCAACACAUAAAAGAAGAUAUUUAGGUGUCUCAAUCUUUUGCUGUAUGGAUCUGCCCUCACGUAGUCCCUUGUUUUAUAAGAGUUUGGGGUCCUCCGGCACUAUGCUAGAGUAGUGCAAAACCUUCUCAGAUCGGUAUGGAGAGAAAUCCUGUGUUGAAUCUCGACUUACAAGGGAACAAAACAAUGUCGAAACUCUUCUUGAAACUCCUCCCAAGUUAGUAUGAAAUAAAUCAGACUGAUCCAAAGUCCAAACCAUUUUUAAUAGACUUAAUGAUGUUGUUGAUCUCAUCUUAGCCAAAAACUUGACCACCAAGUCUUUGUCUCACGGUAUGCUUGCUUUACUAGGAAAGGAAGUCAAGGAAUCGGCAGAGAUGUCCUAUCAGUACAGAAAUUCUCGUACAAGAAUUUGGUGAAUGGAGUAAGAAUAUGCAAGUGAAAAUGAAAAAUACUCAUACAAGAAUUUAAAGAAAGUUAUAAUUGUUUUUCCUGGUGAAAUUGAUGUUGAAGAAACAAAGGCAAGACCAGGGUUGAGGUAUGUAUGGAGGCUUCUUCUUUGUUGAUUUUUAGCUGCUAUAUUCUUCACAUGAUGAUUUGUAAUGUAUCUCGAAACCAAAAUAAAAUGCUGAAAACUAAUCUCAAAAUCUUGAAUGAAUAAAAAUGGCAAGACAGUUUCAUCAUAUUCUCUCCAAAAAGUUGAGAGUAAUUAUUGUGGUAUAAUUAAUUCACUACUGAAUCAUUUUGCAUAUUUUGUUAGUUAUAAUGUUGCAGAUUGUUAGAUGGACUUGGUGAAAAAAAUAAAAUAAAAUUAGAGUUGUCUUUCUUUUUAAUAUGCUUGCUAUCUGGUGGAGUCAUAAUUAAAAAAAAUGCAGUGUGUUAUGCCUUUAUUCUAAUGGUGUGUGUUCAAUUUGCAGAAAUAUCUGUUUUAUUUUGAUGAAAGAACAUCACUUGUUUUAUUGAUGUCAUUAUUAUGUCUUCCUAUUCCUUUUCCAUUUCAUCUCUUUUUGGCUUGCUUGUACAAUGAUGUUGCGUUUUGCUGAGAGAAACUAUAGCUAACUAUUAUUGCCAUCUAUGGUUGUCUCUGUCAUGUUAGAGGUUUGAAGCCAAUUUGGGUAUAAUUUUAUGAGAGAGAAUGAGAUGGUUUGAUAAAUGCCUAAGUAGGUUGGAAAGCCUUGUGGUUUUCGACGGUCAUCAAUUAUAUAUAUAGAAUCGUCUGGUAUUAUGCUUAUGAUGAGACAUUAUGGUUAAUGCUCAUAUGACUUGUAUAAUUGAGAUAAGAAGUCCGAUCGAGAUGGUAUUAAAGUCGAAAUGAUAUUAAGUUCAAAUUUUAGGAAGAUCCAUGUAAUCAAUUCUAAAUAGUUGAGACUUAAGACGUUAUUGUAUGAGACACCCGAUCGAGUUAUCAGAUUGAUGGGACAUCUAAUGUGAUAUCAAACUCCGUCAUCAAUAAUCAGGUAACUAAAGAUAAAUCCAUUCAUUAGAUUUGUUAUAUAUUCUUGAAUUUGGUUGGAGUACUUUUCAGUAUUUCCGGAACAACAUGACCUCUUGAAACCACAUAUAUUUUACCUGAGACAGUUUGGAUACGAUAUCUCAAUCCUCAUAUCAAGAAAAAUUGUGGUUCACGAUGUAAUCAAUGUGUCAGUCAAUAUCCAGUUGUAUUAGACUGUUAUUCUCAGCGAGUUCUGUGCUCUCCAUGUAUCCAUCUUACCUGAACACCUGGAAUCCUUUUCAUAUAUAUAGCGGCAGAUUUUAUUGCCUUUAGCUUGUGGGAAUCAGACAAAUCCAAAAGACAUUUGAUGAAUAUGUCAUGAUCAGUCCAGCAUAUAUUCUACACAUUUUACCUGCUCAAUGUAGCAGAAGGAUUCUAUCGACACAGAGACCCAAUGAUGUUAUUUUUCCUAGCAAGUGGAGUAACAGAGAGCCAUGGGAUUGAUCGUAAGAGAAGCAGGAGUCCAUGUGGAAACUUUACUUGUUCCUUUCACUGGAUAGCCUUUCUUCGACAGGGGCGUGGAAGAUAUCAUCGACUGUCAUGUUGACGGCGCUAAGAGGAAUCGGAGAGGAAGAUUUCAGAUUGAAGUUUGUGAUUUAUAGAGGAGAAGAGAAUGUGUUCAUAGUUUUAAGGGAAGAUGCAGCAGAUUCUGUGCAGGGUUCUGAGCAUAGCAAUUUAUGGUUCUGCCAACAACGUUGUCCAUCCCACUCACUGUUUACUUCAACCUCUCGUUCGUCUUUCUCUCUCUCUCUAACAUUCAUAGCACACAAUGUAACCCGCAGGAGGUAUGCUUCCAAACGAAGCAUUCUAUUUGCCUUUUAGUAGCCAUCUUACUCUUGCUACUUUAUGCCACCGUAGCUUGUACACAAAUAGAUGUAUUCCCAAGAGGCAAAGUGGAAAUAAGGUGACUGCCAUCCGAACAACAAAGAAAAUUAUCUCAAACUUCAUUCAAAAAGAAAAAAUGUGUACUGAAUUCAAUAAAAUUUACUUUUGUAGCUCAAUAUCUGUAACAAAAUUAUCCAAAGUCACAUUUUACAGAAAUGUGAGGAUUGCCAACACUGUUGCAGCUGUAUGUUUACAGAAACUUAAAACAAGAAAAAAAAAAAAAAUCCCA
This is a long non-coding RNA of Musa acuminata AAA Group (dessert banana), 8559 nucleotides long. RefSeq lists it as uncharacterized. The record is from RefSeq and is a predicted model, not a curated record. NCBI's taxonomy places the organism in Eukaryota, Viridiplantae, Streptophyta, Magnoliopsida, Zingiberales, Musaceae. The transcript has 2 exons.